RNAcentral lists this long non-coding RNA (4850 nucleotides) under Marmota monax (woodchuck). The record is from RNAcentral. Lineage: Eukaryota; Metazoa; Chordata; Mammalia; Rodentia; Sciuridae.
GACGAGAGGGACACUGCUCUAGCUGGAAACACCCAGAUUCAUCCUUCAGGGCCAGUCUGAUGGCAUCCUAGGCCACUGAGGCCAGCACUUGUGGUCAGCUCUUCCAGAACCUGCCCUGGGCUCCCAGUGGUCUGAGCCUCUCACUGCUCUUGGGCCAGUCAGCUCCCAGAAUUAUCUUCAGUCAGCCUCCUUCCCUGGGCCUGGUGAAGCAGGUCACCGUGCACUGUGACCAGUUGUCCAGGUCUGAGGGACGGAGCACUGCAUGUCACCAAGUCUUUGUGGCUUGCCCACAGGUAGCCACCACCAGCAGGAGCCCAAGGUUCACCAUGAAUGGGGCCCCAAGGCCCGGGGGGCUUCCUGGAGGCUCACCACUUGCCCCGCUGGCCCGCCUGGAGGUUAUCUUCGGGGCUUUACUCCCGGGGGCAGCAGGACGGCCAGGCUAAAGCGUGGCAGGCCAUCCUGUUUCUAGGGCACGAGAACAGGCCUGCCUGUGUCAGUCCCUUCUUGUCUCAGCAUGUGGCACUGCCGCUGCUGUUAGCUUCUCCUAAGAACUAUGAGGGAGACAGAGGGAGAAUGGAGCCCUCCAGAGACUGUCUGGAACCCCAGGGUGCAGUUGUCACCCAGCUGUGACCUCCUCGAGGGCAGGGUUCUGAUUCUUGCUGAAGCUGCCAGGGCCUGUGCUCAAGGACGCACUCCCCCUCCCCCAUUAUGUCCCCUCUGUGCUGUGGAUAAGAGUGUGUCUACACGGGCUGCCCAUCGUGGGCCCCUGUCACUGUUCGGCUUCAUCCCUUGACCCUGUUCCCCCUCCACAGGCCACCACUCUGGACUCCAUCACAGGAAGCCCAGCACGUGGGCUCUCCCCGCUACCCCCUCACGCCUUCUUCUCCCUCUUCCUGGAACCCAGCCACCCCAGAGCUCUUGGUCUGAGCUCCCCUGCCCUCUCCGGAUGCCGCCUCCUCCAGAAAGGUGACACCUCCUUGCGUGCUCACAAAUGCCACGUCACUGGUCGAGUCGUUCAAGUGCUACCUGCCCCCAUAGACCUGAACUCUGAGUACAGGAUCCAGGCCUUGAUUCUCUUUGUCCCCAACGUCUAACCCUCCCCCACCAGGUCCCUGCACCAGCUUUCAGUAGCCUCAUCAGGAGAGGAGCGGCUAGGAGGUCUCUGGCUCCUUGGCCUUUACAGACCCUGCCUGCCCAGCUAGGACAUGCCCCUGCCUCUCUGCAACACUGCCCCAAACCCCGGGAGAGCAGAUCCUCCCAGCUUGCCCAGACCAGGUGGGCUGAAUCAGGACCUCGCCUGCCUCCGCUGAGCCUCUCCAUCCUCCAAGCACACCAAGAAAAGCAGAGCCCAAGGAGGAGCCAGCAAGCUGGGCCUCACCACAGGAAAGAAGAGAGUGCAUCCGAGUGUGGGCGGAGGAGCCAAGCAGGACUUGAACUCACCAUCUGGCCCGCUGUCCACAGGCCCUUAAGCUGCUCUAGACACACCCAAGGGAGAAGGAACCGUGCAGCCCCACACUUCAGGGUGAUUGCUGUGUGUCCUCAGGAGGGACAAGGGCUCCUGAUGACUUUCCAACCAACCUGGAAAAUCUCAAAUGUAUUCAGACAAUGGGAGAAGAGUCAAGGACGCUCACGUGCCCAUCACCAGCUUCGCCAACCAUCAAUCUAUGCUUGCAGUUGUGACUAUCUACUAGAUACAUGGUGAUUAAUUCAAAACAUUGAAUUUUAUCCAAUAUUAAUGUUAAACAUCAAUGUCAAGUAUUCGCACUAAUUUUAACAUUAAUUAUUAAUAUUAACUCGGUUAUGUGUAUAUCAGGUGCCCGGCCCUGUACUAGGCCAUUAACAAAGACAAUAUCUGCAAGCUAUCUGGGCCCAGUCCAGAAGCAUCUAUUUCAGAGUCUCCGAGGAGGUCAUGCUCUGCCCUCUGCAUGGCAUGAUCCAGCGGUCCCCUGCCCCAGAGACAUCCAGUCACUCCCUGGACUACAUGAGUUCAGAAUAGGCCCUGGAGUUCUGGCCCCUGAAGCCUCCCAUCCCCUCGUGGGAGUCAACCCUGCCAGGAUGCAGUCGCUCCUGGUGCCAGCUCUUGCAGCCACCUGGCAUCAGGAAGUGGCAUAGAGUCUGUGAGCGGUGGUGCAGGGCCUGGCCCCCAGCCUACUUCCACCCAGUGCUCAGCCGUAGCCCCUCCUGUACCAGGGGAUCCGCCCGUGGCAGGCACAGUGGGCUUUGGAGUUUGGAGACUGGUGUCUAAACCAGCUCUGAGCUGUAAGAGUCCUGAGAACUGAGGUCAACCAACCACCUGGGUGAAGUGGGGAGGUGAGUGCAGCCAGCAGGAAGCCGCGUCGGGGAGUCCAGGGUCAGGGAUCCUGUCCUGCCUUCAGCUCAGGUUUACAGAACAUCCUACCUCACAGGUGUGGUGGGAGGGGAUGUGACCAGGACCUUACAGGCCUGGAGGGGUGUCAGUGGGGUCCCUAGGUGAGCCCUAGGAGGCUUCUGGGGGCAGGGAGUGAGCACCCUACUGCUCUGCCGUUGCUGGCUGUGACCUGCAGGGGUGGACCUCUCUUGCCCUCAGUGUUCAGUUCUACACAAUGAGCAGAACAGAGGACCUUGCAGACUAAAGCACUUUGCACCCACACAAGUUCAUGGAUGUCCAAGUUGGCUGUUCCUUGGCGUUUUGACUCUUGGAAAACCUGAGUCAGAGAUGAGGGAUCCCGUGUAUCGUCAGGUGCAUACUGGAACCUUUUGGUUUAUGGAACAGAAGUAACACCUGUGCCAGGGACCAGGCAGCUUUCAGAGGGAGGGAAUGGAGGGUCAGUACCAGCCUCCAAACCAACCAUCCACCCGCUGCACCUGGCCUCAGACCCAGAGAAGCCCUGGGAAGGCCUCGCUGUGCUACUCUCCAGCCCAGCAACCUUGUCCCGAGAGGCGGCCUCACCCCCGCUGCAGUCCAAGCAUCCCCACGUGAGAUGGCUUGCACUAGUGACCCUCACAAGGGAAACCUGCUCUUUCCCAUCAGCAUUUGCAAGGGCCAGAGACCCUUCCAAGGGCCGUGGGGCUCUGGGAUUUUCCACUGUGGACAGUGGCAGCUGCAGGAGGGAGAGAGGUUGAAAUCAGAGAUCAGGACUCAGAGCCAGUCAGCAGGGACACCCCACCUGACCCAUCCCUGGCGAUGUUAAGUGCCUGAGGCCCGGCUGGACCCUGACUCUGCAAGGACAGUGGGGCCAGGGUGAGCUGCUCGUGGUUUGCUGACUGUUUAGCGCACACUGGGCCCGAGGAGGGAUGUAUUGGGUUGUGUUCUCCUGACCAUGGAUUAAUUGGGUCCGCUAUAAACCUGCAAUCUAGUGGAGUCUGGAAUUGCCGUGUUCUGUCAGAGCUUAGUGAUGUAAUUCAUUCUUACAUCGUUACCCAAAAGGGCUGAAACUCAGACAGCCGCUGUCCUGGGCAACAAAUCAAAUCACUGAUAAGAAGCCGCUAGUUUGACUGAAAGCAGAUGAGUGACGGCCUGAGGGCUGGGGUGGGCUGAGAGAGUUUGGGGACACUUGGUGAUGGACAGCUGUUAUCGUGACCAUGAUGGUGUCAGGGUCUCACAUGUGUCCAUCUCAUCGGUGUCCACUUCAAAUGGGUGCAGCUCGGUGUCCGGAGUUGAAGAUGCCCCAUGCACUGUGUCCACAGAAACCUCUUCAUCACCCUGAAAAACACUGUCACCCCAAACAAACCUCAGGGCACUAGGGUCUUCACAGUGUCAUAUGUUAAAAACCUACAUCAGCUUAAAUGUAAGCGAAGGUGUAUGGAGCAAGACUACAGCCUGCCCACAGGAUUUCACACUUGAGCCCCUGUGGACUGGUGUGAUCUGGUCUGAUCUCACAGGUGACAAAUGGGGCUCUGGGAAGCUAGAGAAUGUGGUGGUGUCUGGUGGAACCUGCCUGCCUGUCUAAUGACAUUCCGUCUGUCCUUUCAGCACCCCAACCCAUGAUCCAGGGAGACACCUCCACGUACAGGAGCUCACAGAAGGACAGGUGGGACCCCGUCCUGAACACAUUGGACAGUUCCCUGUUUCCUCUUCGUCCUGUUCCAGGCUUUGGCACGGGGUCAUCACAGGGUGGCUGGGCUCCUGCCUUCUGCCUUCUUCACGUGGUCUGUAAACGUUUCCCCAUGUGGCUCGUGUGGGUCAUUUCGAGACCCUCCACGAAGUCCCUGGAGCUCGUUCCUGGUAACAGUGCACUCAAUCCUGCGGCUGCCCAAGGAGACCGUAGCCAGGAUUUUGCUGCUGUGAAUGACUACACAGAAGAGAACAUAGCCAAUGGUCAGGUCACCUGGGCUGCAGUCCCAGGGCUGCCACAGAACAGCUUUCUGACUUGAGGCAGGUCACUUGAUCUCUCUGUGCCUUCUGAAGACAUAGAGUAGAGAUAAUGAUGUCACCUCUCUUGAAGGCUGUCGGUACCUAAAACUGGGACUAACUUCUAUAGGGCCUGUCACCUCUAGACCAUCUGCGUCCUUGCCCUGGACAUCUUGAUACCUCCUUGCCCUGGACAUCUUGAUACCUCCUUGCCCUGGACAUCUUGAUACCUCCUUGCCCUGGACAUCUUGAUGGUUUUCUAGUUUGUAUGAAGAAGCUUCCUGUAGGUAAAGGUGUCUCCCCUUUGUUCUAGUCUGGCCUGUUUUGUUCUAACAAGGGCCAAGGGCUCAAAGUCCACCCCGUCCCAGGACGGGGAGCCCCCAGCCUUGCUGCCCUCCCCAGUAAAGCAGAGACACCAGAACUCCUUGAGGGGUGCCCCACAGGUGGGACAGGUGGCACCUAAGUGCCUAGUACCUCACCUGAUGCUUAAUGCAUGCCUAACACUUUGUAGUUACACGUG